Molecule: small RNA, 759 nt
Filed under: Boletaceae sp. 1 g1-2-7
Lineage: Eukaryota; Fungi; Basidiomycota; Agaricomycetes; Boletales; Boletaceae
Description: eukaryotic LSU rRNA
Rfam family: 5.8S ribosomal RNA (bases 205-359)
Source: RNAcentral
GGGGAGAGGGAAGAUGGAGAGUCGAGGGACUGUCGCUGGCACUCUUCGUUCGGAGUGUGCAUGUGCACGUCUCUCAUCUUGACAUCGACCUUUUACCCAUCCACACCCCUUCACACCUGUGCACCUUUUGUAGGUCCUCGAAAGAGGAUCUAUGUCUUUAUCAUAUCACACCCGCCGUAUGUCUAGAAUGUCAUAAUAAAAUACAACUUUCAGCAACGGAUCUCUUGGCUCUCGCAUCGAUGAAGAACGCAGCGAAUUGCGAUAAGUAAUGUGAAUUGCAGAUUUCCAGUGAAUCAUCGAAUCUUUGAACGCACCUUGCGCUCCUUGGUAUUCCGAGGAGCAUGCCUGUUUGAGUGUCAUGUAACUAUCAACCAUGUCUCGACUGACUUUGAGCACAUGGCUUGGAUGUGGGGGUUGCUGGCUGCGAAAGCGGUCGGCUCUCCUUAAACGCAUUAGCAAAGGGGUGUGCUAUGGUCUUCUGGACGUGCACGGCCUUCGACGUGAUAAUGAUCGUCGUGGCUGGAGCGUCCGUCAUAGACCAUGCAUAGACAAGCCUCGAUUUGCUUCUAAUUCCAAGAUCCUCUAAUCUCAGUGGUGGUCGGGGGGAGGUCUUGCUAGCUAUUAGUCUACUAGCCUACUAGCCUACUAGUCCGUGUGCACGCAUAUGGACGAACGGCGAACAGUGAACGGCGAACGUUGACAAGGCUGACGACGACAAAGCUAGACUUGGGGAUCGUAUUCAUNGACUCGACCUCAAUC